Molecule: unclassified non-coding RNA, 348 nt
Filed under: soil metagenome
Description: partial contains 5.8S ribosomal RNA, internal transcribed spacer 2, and large subunit ribosomal RNA
Rfam family: 5.8S ribosomal RNA (bases 1-120)
Source: RNAcentral
GAUGAAGAACGCAGCGAAAUGCGAUAAGUAAUGUGAAUUGCAGAAUUCAGUGAAUCAUCGAAUCUUUGAGCGCACAUUGCGCCCGCCAGUAUUCUGGCGGGCAUGCCUGUCCGAGCGUCAUUUCAACCCUCGCGCCCAUCUGGGCUGCGGUGUUGGGGACCGGCCUGCCCCCCGGGGCGCGCCGCCCCCCAAAUUCAGUGGCGGUCUCGCUGCAGCCUCCCUUGCGUAGUAGCACACCUCGCACCGGAGCGCAGCGCGGCCACGCCGUAAAACCCCCGACCCCCAUGAGUUUGACCUCGGAUCAGGUAGGAAUACCCGCUGAACUUAAGCAUAUCAAUAAGCGGAGGA